Molecule: ribosomal RNA, 469 nt
Filed under: uncultured bacterium
Lineage: Bacteria
Description: partial 16S ribosomal RNA
Rfam family: Bacterial small subunit ribosomal RNA
Source: RNAcentral
GACGAACGCUGGCGGCGUGCUUAACACAUGCAAGUCGAACGGAAAGGCCCUGCUUUUGUGGGGUGCUCGAGUGGCGAACGGGUGAGUAACACGUGAGUAACCUGCCCUUGACUUUGGGAUAACUUCAGGAAACUGGGGCUAAUACCGGAUAGGAGCUCCUGCUGCAUGGUGGGGGUUGGAAAGUUUCGGCGGUUGGGGAUGGACUCGCGGCUUAUCAGCUUGUUGGUGGGGUAGUGGCUUACCAAGGCUUUGACGGGUAGCCGGCCUGAGAGGGUGACCGGCCACAUUGGGACUGAGAUACGGCCCAGACUCCUACGGGAGGCAGCAGUGGGGAAUAUUGCACAAUGGGCGGAAGCCGGAUGCAGCAACGCCGCGUGCGGGAUGACGGCCUUCGGGUUGUAAACCGCUUUCGCCUGUGACGAAGCGUGAGUGACGGUAAGGGGUAAAGAAGCACCGGCUAACUACGUGC